UUACGCGGGCCACCACAGAGCAACAACGCAGAAUUCCCCGGAGAAUACACGAGCUAUUCAGAAAUCUUGCCGGUGGGAUUCCUAAACCGGAUAGAGAAAAGAGGGAAAGUGGCGGGAUGGGUCCCGCAAUUGAAAGUUUUGUCCCACAAAGCAAUUGGGGGAUUUGUGUCACACUGCGGAUGGAAUUCAAUACUCGAAAGUAUAUGGUGUGGGGUGCCUAUAGCGACCUGGCCAUUGCACCUCGGAGCAGCACGCAAAUGUGUUUCAGUUGGUGAAAAAAUGGAGACACGCAGUUGAGAUCACUUUGGAUUACUGUGAAAGGAAUAAAGAUCAACCGAUGGUAACUUCAGAAGCCAUAGAAAAAGGUGUAAAGAAAUUGAUGGAAACUAACUCUGAAGUAAGAGAUAAAGCAAAGGAGAUGAAGGAGAAGAGCAGGGCUAGCGUAAUGGAAGGUGGAUCUUCGUACUUGUCUCUUGGGAAACUCAUUGAUGAACUACUGAAGAACGCAGCUUUGUUACUUUGUUCAUAAUUUUACCAUAAAUGAGGUAGAGUUUCUAUAAGUGUACUAAAUUAUCUCCUACCCAAUUUACAGAUCCUUGUUAAUCAUAUCUUGUUAUACUUUCUAUUUUUUAAAAGGUGAUGGUGGUUGUGGUGGUAGGGAAUAUUUCAGAGAUUUGAAUUUAAUAAUUGGAAAUUGUCUUUUAA
Long non-coding RNA from Lycium ferocissimum, 705 nucleotides. RefSeq lists it as uncharacterized. Lineage: Eukaryota; Viridiplantae; Streptophyta; Magnoliopsida; Solanales; Solanaceae. The transcript has 2 exons. The record is from RefSeq and is a predicted model, not a curated record.